RNAcentral lists this long non-coding RNA (264 nucleotides) under Spirodela polyrhiza (greater duckweed). Its description in RNAcentral is "long non-coding RNA (SPOL_LNC001066)". The record is from RNAcentral. Lineage: Eukaryota; Viridiplantae; Streptophyta; Magnoliopsida; Alismatales; Araceae.
UCCGCAGGCAUCUAGUUAUAUAGUCUUGAACAGGCCCAAUUUCUCUCAAAAUAGAGCAGAAGCCAUAGGGAGAAACUCCCAAAAGCAACUGAAAUCCUAGCUGGCUGGAACCCCGCAGGUUCUCCACAGUUAAAAUGUUAUCUUCUGUCGUGAGAGGAGUGGAAAUACCCCGCCAAUUGACACCCAAGAUGAAAACGGGCCUCUUCAUUUACAUCUUGGCCCUGAAAUUUAUUAGCAGUCAUGAUGGCGAGGAACAUGCAAAGU